This 289-nucleotide long non-coding RNA is filed under the name Olea europaea (common olive). Its description in RNAcentral is "long non-coding RNA (OEUR_LNC003797)". Lineage: Eukaryota; Viridiplantae; Streptophyta; Magnoliopsida; Lamiales; Oleaceae. The record is from RNAcentral.
UUGUAUAUUAUAUUUUGUAUGCACGAUAAAUCAAUGACAAGUGAAAGAAUGGGACUAUUUUUCAAGCUAGUAUAUGACAAUUAAGGCCAUCUCAGAAAAAAAGGAAUAAAGAAAGGGAAAAGGAGCUGGGUUUUUACUUCUAAUACAUUAAUUUGAGCACGUAUCUUCACUCUAUUUUUAUCAAAAUUAUUUUGUGCUAUUUCUUUGUGCUUCCUGCUCUCAAAUUGUCAAUUUUAAUCACAAAGCUACCCACUCUAUGACACUGUAAGAUAUUUUUUGCCUUACUGGA